UUUUUUCAGUUUUAUUUUAUUUUUUAUGGACACAUAAUAAUUGUACAUAUUUAUGGGAUACAGUGUGAUGUUUCAAUACAUGUAUACAUUGUGUAAUUAUCAAAUCAGGAAUCAGGGUAAUCAGCUUAUCGAUAUCCUCAAACAUUUAUCAUUGCUUUGUGGCGAGGACAUUCAAAAUUCUCUCUUCUACUUAUUUUAAAAUAGACUCUACAAUAUCAUCAACGAUAGUCAUCCUACUUUGCAAUAGAACACCAGAACUUAUUCCUUCUAUCUGUGAUUUUGUACCUGUUGACAAAUCUCUCUCCAUUCCUUCCUCCCUCUACCCUCCCCAGACUCUGAUAACCACUAUUAUACUCUCUACUCCCAUGAUACCAGCUUUUAAAAAUUCCACAAAACAGUGAAACCAUGUAGUAUUUGUUUCUGUGCCUGGUUCAUUUCACUUAACAUAAUAUUCUCCAGGUUCAUCUAAAUUAAUGCAAAUGAAAGGAUUUUAUUUUUUUUUAAUGAAUGAAUGCUAUUUCAUUGUCUAUAUAGACUAAGUUUUCUUUUUCUUUUUUUUAAAGGCGGAGUUUCACUCUGUCACCCAGGCUAGAGUGCAGUGAUGCAAUCUCAGCUCACUGCAACCUCUGCCUCCCAGGUUCAAGUGAUUCUCCAGCCUCAGUCUCCUAAGUAGCUGGGAUUACAGGCAUGCACCACCGUGUCCAGCUAAUUUUUGUAUUUUUAGUAGAGAUGGGGUUUUGCUAUAUUGGUCAGGUUGGUCUUGAACUCCUGACCUCAAAUUAUCUGCCUACCUCGGCAUCCCAAAGUGCUGGGAUUCCAGGCAUGAGCCACCGCACCAGGCCUAUAUACCACAUUUUUUAAUCCAUUAAUUCAUUGAUGAGCACUUAGGUUAAUCCCAUAUUUUGGCUAUUGUUAAUAGUGCUGCAGAUAUCUCUUCGACAUACUGAUUUUAUUUCCUUUGGAUAAAUACCCAGUAGUGGGAUUGUUGGAUCAUUUUUAAUUUUUUGAGGCACCUCCAUAUUGUUUUUCAUAGUGACUGAACUAAUUUACAUCUCCACCAACAGUGUUUAAGUGUUUCCACUUUCCUACAUCCAUGCCAAGGCAGCAUUUUUUUUCUCUUUUUCAUAAUAAUCAUUCUAAUAGGCAUGAAGUGAUAACUCAUUGUGGUUUUGAUUUGCACUUCCCUGAUGAUUAGUGAUGUUGAGCACUUAUGCAUAUACCUAUUCCCAUUUGUAUGUCUUCUUUUGAGAGAUGCCUAUUCAGAUCUUUUGUCCAUUUUUUAAUUGAGUUGAGUUUCUUAUGUAUUUUGGAUAUUAACCCCUUCUCAGUUGCACAGUUUGUAAGUAUUUUCUCCCAUUCUGCAUGUUGUCUCUUCACUCUUGAUUAUUUGAUUUGCUGUGCAAAAGCUUUUCUGAUGUAUUCCCAUUUGUCUACUUUUGCUUUCGUUGCCUGUGCUUUCAAAGUCUUAACCAAAAAAUCAUUGCCCAGACCAAUAUUAUGAUGCAUUUCCACUAGGUUUUCUUCUAAUAGUUUUGGUCUUCCUUUUAGACUUUAAUCCUUUUAGAGAUGAUUUAUGUAUAUGGUAAAAGAUGAGGAUCUAGUUUCAUUGUGCAUGUGGAUAUCAAAUUUUCCCAGCACCAUUUAUUGAGGAGACAGUCCCUUUUCCAAUGUGUGUUCUCAGUGCCUUUGUUGAAUAUCAGUUGGCUGUAAGUUUGUGGAUUUAUUUCUGUGUUCUUCAUUCUGUUCCAUUGGUCUGUGUGUCUAUUUUUAUGCUACCAUGCUGUUUUGGUUACUAUAACUUUGUGGUAUACUUUGAAGUUAGGUAAUGUCUUUUUGCUUAAAAUGUCUACUAUGAGCAGGUGGCCAACGGGCACAUAGAGGGAGGCUCAGCAUCACUGAUAAUUAGGGAGACGGGAAUCAGAGUCACCACAGAAAACUGUCUAAUCACAAGGUGAACAAGAGACAAAGAAAGGACCAAAUAAUCUAUAAAACAACCAGAAAGGAAUAAUAGAAUGCCAAUGCAUGGUGGGCUUAAUAUCUAGGUCAUGAGUAGAUAGGUGCAGCAAACCACCAUGGCACACGUUUACCUAUGUAACAAAGCUGCACAUCCUGCACAUGUACCCCAGAACUUAGAAAAUAAAAUAAAAUAAAAAGAAUAAUAGAAUGUCAGGACUAAAUCCUCAUCUAUCAAUAAUUACCCUGAAUGUAAAUAUAUUAAGUUCUCCAAUUAAAAGAUGUAGAGUGCUAAAUUGAUUUUUUAAAGAAUGAUCUAACUUUAUGCUUCCUGCAAGAGAAGUACUUCACCUGUAAGAGAAGCACUUCACCUGUAGGGACAUAAUAGGCUGAAAGUAAAAGGAUGAAAAUGAUAUCCCAAAUGGAGACCAAAUGAAGACAGGAGCAGCUAUAUUUAUAUCCGUUAACUAGGCUAUAAUUGAAAAACUAUAAAAAGAGACAAAAAUGGUCGUUAUGUAAUUAUAAAGAGGUCAAUUCAGCAAGAAGAUAUAACAAUUAUAUAAAUACAGCUGGUCCUCUGUAUUCACGAGUUCUACAUCCAUAGACUUAACCAACUACAGAACGAAAAUAUUUUUUUAAAAAUAUCCAAUCUGUACUAUAUAUAGUUUUUAUUAUUGUCAUUAUUCUCUAAACAAUAAAGUAAACCAAAUAUUUUACAUUGUAUUAUGUUUAUAAGUAAUCUAGAGAUGAUUUAAUGCAUACAGAAGGAUGUACAAAAGUAUAUACAAAUUCUAUGCCAUUUUAUAUCAGGUACUUGAGCAUCAAUGAAUUUUGGUAGAUGCAAGUGAGAAGUGAAGCCAGCUGGACUUCCUGGGUCUAGUGGGGACUUGGAGACCUUUUCUGUGUAGCUAAAGGUUUGUAAACACACCAAUCAGUGCUCUGUGUCUAGCUAAAGGUUUGUAAAUGCACCAAUCAGCACUCUGUAAAAACGCACCAAUCAGAGCUCUGUGUGUAGCUAAAGGUUUGUAAAUGCACCAAUCAGCACUCUGCAAAAACGGACCAAUCAGCACUCUGUAGAAUGGACCAAUCGGCACUCUGUAAAAUAGACCAGUCAGCAGGACGUGAGCAGGGCCAAAUAAGGGAAUAAAAGCUGGCCACCUGAGCCAGCAGCGGCAACCCUUUAGGGUCCCCUACCAUGCUAUGGGAACUUUGUUCUUUCGCUCUUUACAAUAAAUCUUGCUGCUGCUCACUCUUUGGGUCUGCAAUACCUUUAUGAGCUGUUAACACUCACUGUGAAGGUCUGCAGACCACAAACCCACAGGGAGGAACAAACAACUCCAGAUGGGCCACCUUUAAAGGCUGCAGCACUCACUGCGAAGGUCUGAGGCUUCACUCCUGAAGUCAAGUGAGACUGGAAGGAAGAAACUCCAGACACAUCUGAACAUCUGAAGGAACAAACUCCAGACACACUAUCUUUAAGAACUGUUACACUCAUCGUGAGGGUCUGUGGCUUCAUUCUUGAAGUCAGCCAGACCAAGAACCCACUGGAAAGAACCAAUUCUGGACACACAAGGAUUUCUGGAAACAAUCCCCCAGGGAUACUGAGAAACUACUAUGCAUAUGCACUCAACAAUGGAACACCUAAAUAUACAAAGCAAAUAUUAUGAGAUCUAAAAGGACAGACUGCAAUACAAUAAUAGUACCAGACUUCAACAUCCCAGUUCCUAAAACGGACAGAUCAUCCAUGUGGAAAAUCAACCAAAAAAACCCCAUCAGGUUUAAACUGUACUCUAGAUCAAAUGGACCUAACAGAUAUUUACAAAACAGUCCAACCAACAGCUGCAGAAUACACAUGCUUCUCAUUAGCACUUGGAACUUUCUCCAGGAUGUAUUAUAUGUUAGAACACAAAACAGGUCUCAACAAUUUCUUUUAAAUAUCAAAAUCAUAUCAAAUGUCUUUUCUGACCACAAUGGAAUAAAAGUAGAAAUUAAUAACAGGAGGAACUUGAAGAAUAAAUGGGUCAAUAAAUAUAUUUAAAAGGAAUUAAAAAUAUCUUGGGACAAACAAAAAUGGAAACACAAUAUAUCAAAACCUAUGGGAUACAACAAAAGGAGUUCUAAGAAGGAAAUUUGUAGCCUACAUCAAAAAAUUAGAUCUCAAACAGCCAAACAUUGCACUUCAAGGAAUCAGAAAAAACAAGAACUAAAUCCGAAAUUAAAAGGAAAGACAUAUAAAGAUUUUUAAAAAGUGGCACAUACACACCAUGGAAUACUAUACAGUCGUAAAAUAGAAUGAGUUCAUGUCCUUCACGGGCUCAUGAUGAAGCUGGAAACCAUCAUUCUCAGCAAACUAACAUAGAAACAGAAAACCAAACAUUCCAUGUUCUCACUUAUAAGUGGGAGUUGAACAAUGAGAAUACAUUGACACAGGGAGGGGAACAUCACACACUGGGGCCUGUCAGGGGGUGGAGGGUAAGGGGAGGGAGAGCAUUAGGACAAAUACCUAAUGCACACAGGGCUUAAAACCUAGAUGAUGGGUUGAUGGGUGCAGCAAACCACCACGGCACAUGUAUAACUACAUAACAAACCUGCACGUUCUGUACAUGUAUCCCAGAACUUAAUAAUUUUUUUUAAAAAAAAGAAAUAAAAACAUUAAAGCAGAAAUGAAAAAACAGAGACUAAAACAAUACAAAAUAUCAACAAAACAAAGUGUUAGUUUUCUGAAAAGAUAAAAUGAACAAACCUUUUGCUAGACUAAGAAAAAAGAGAAGAUUGAAAUGAAUAAAAUCAAAGAUGAAAAUGAAACAUUACCACUGUGUAUUUUUAAAUCAUUUUUGAUGCUUCAGCCUUUCCUGUUUCAUGCUGAGAUGAGAUCAUCACCACAUCCUACUCACUCUAUUCAAAUAAGAAAAUCUAAUCUUGAGUUAUAAAUUUAUUAAAAUUCUUUAAUGAUAGAAUUUCAUUUCUAUGGACACUGGAAAACUCUUCUCUACUGCUAUAUACCGAAUAUUUAUGCCCCCCAAAAAUUCAUUUGUUGAAACUUUAUCCACAGUGUGAUGCUAUUUGGAGAUAGAGACUUUGGGAGGUGAUUAGGUCAUGAGGGUCGUGCCCUCAUGAAUGGGAUUAAUGUCCUUAUAAAAGAUAUCCUAGAGAGCUUCCUUGCCUCUUCCUCCACUAGAAAACACAGCAAAGAUGGCCAUAUGUGAAGCACGAAGCAGGCCUUCACCAAGUACUGAAUUUGUUAGCACUUUGGUCUUGGAAUUCCCAGUCUCCAGAACUGUAAGAAAUAAAUUUCUGUUGUUCAUAAGCUAUCCAGUUUAUGGUAUUUUGUUAUAGCAUCCCAAACAGACUAAAACAACGAGGUACCAAGAAAUUGAUAUUUUAGUUCCCAGGACCAUGCCAUGGGUAUAAUUCAUUAAUUCAUCAAAUAUAUAUUUAGUAACUACUGAAGAAAAGAACCUUUAAUGCACUGUGGAUACAACUAUAAAAAACAAAGGUUAAUUUUAAGGUAGAACAUACAGACUAGUGGAUGAGACAGAACAAAACUUUAAAAUAUGUGAAGCAAAACAUAACAGAUAAGUAGACAAGUAAAAAUCAUAUUUAAACAUUUAAAAACCAUUCUUUCAAUAAUUGAUAAUUAGACCAAAAAAUCAUUAGGACAAUAGAAGAUCUGAACAAGGCUACCAAUCACCUUCACCCAAUUGAUAUUUAUAGAACACUCCAUUUCAAUAGAGCAAAAUGCACAUUGUUUUGAAGUAUACAUGGAACAUUUAUCAUGAUGGACCAUAUACUAGGACAUAUAACAAGUAUUGACAUAUUUUAAAGUAUUAAAAUCAUAUAGUAUAUUUUCUGGACACACAGAAAUUAAAUUAGAAAUCGGUAACAAAAUUGUAUCUGGAAAAUCCUGAAAUAUUUGGAAAUUAAACAACUUUUUUUCUUUUUUUUUGAGACAGAGUCUCAUUCUGUUGUCUAGCUAUGUUUUUGUAUUUUAGUAGAGAUGGGGUUUCACCAUGUUGGUCAGGCUGGUCUCCAACUCCUGGCCUCAAGUGAUCCACCCACCUCAGCCUCUCAAAGUGCUGGGAUUACAAGUGUAAGCCACUGCACCCCGCCUAAACAACAUACUUUUAAGACAUGAGCC
This 6091-nucleotide long non-coding RNA is filed under the name Macaca fascicularis (crab-eating macaque). Its description in RNAcentral is "lncRNA (ENSMFAG00000047162.1)". Lineage: Eukaryota; Metazoa; Chordata; Mammalia; Primates; Cercopithecidae. The record is from RNAcentral.